RNAcentral lists this non-coding RNA (154 nucleotides) under Mycobacterium parmense. Lineage: Bacteria; Bacillati; Actinomycetota; Actinomycetes; Mycobacteriales; Mycobacteriaceae. The record is from RNAcentral.
AGAGGGAACCCGGUGUGAAUCCGGGACUGUCCCGCAGCGGUAUCCGGGAACGACCGCCGUCAUCGGCACUGGGAACAGCGAAGCCCGCUGAUCCCGGGAAGCGACGGCCAGUAGAUGCACCGAAAGCGGUGCGCGCCCGGGAGUCCGAAGACCU